RNAcentral lists this transfer RNA (67 nucleotides) under Anaplecta calosoma. Its description in RNAcentral is "tRNA-Val". The record is from RNAcentral. Lineage: Eukaryota; Metazoa; Arthropoda; Insecta; Blattodea; Anaplectidae.
CGAGCUAUCCUUGUUGGGUUCUCUUUUACAUUGAGAUUUAUUUUCUGUUCAAAUCAGAAUGGCUUGA